Molecule: transfer RNA, 64 nt
Filed under: human gut metagenome
Also listed under: 1 other name
Rfam family: tRNA
About the family: Transfer RNA (tRNA) molecules are approximately 80 nucleotides in length. Their secondary structure includes four short double-helical elements and three loops (D, anti-codon, and T loops).
Source: RNAcentral
CGUAGCUCAAUGGAUAGAGCACUGGUCUCCUAAACCGGGUGUGUAGGUUCGAUUCCUAUCGGGG